This 468-nucleotide ribosomal RNA is filed under the name uncultured bacterium. RNAcentral's name for it is "partial 16S ribosomal RNA". The stretch from base 49 to 468 matches the Rfam family "Bacterial small subunit ribosomal RNA", at positions 39 to 507 of the family's 1533-position model. The record is from RNAcentral.
GGGGGGGGGGGGGGGGGGGCGGGGCGCGGGGGGGGGGGGCGGGGGGGGGGGGCGUGGGGGGGGGGGGCGGGUGGCGGACGGGUGCGGAGCACGUGGGUAGCCUGCCCUCGACUGGGGGCUGCCGUCACGCAACCGGGGCUAACACCGGAUAGGAGCUCCUGCUGCCUGGUGGGGGUUGGAACGUUUCGGCGGUUGGGCGUGGCCUCGCGGCUUAUCCUCUUGUUGGUGGGGUAGUGGCUUACCAAGGCGUUGACGGGUAGCCGGCCUGAGAGGGUAACCGGCCACAUUGGGACUGAGAUACGGCCCAGACUCCUACGGGAGGCAGCAGUGGGGAAUAUUGCACAAUGGGCGGAAGCCUGAUGCAGCAACGCCGCGUGCGGGAUGACGGCCUUCGGGUUGUAAACCGCUUUCGCCUGUGACGAAGCGUGAGUGACGGUAAUGGGUAAAGAAGCACCGGCUAACUACGUG